Molecule: long non-coding RNA, 389 nt
Organism: Carlito syrichta (Philippine tarsier)
Lineage: Eukaryota; Metazoa; Chordata; Mammalia; Primates; Tarsiidae
Exons: 2
Source: RefSeq, a predicted model, not a curated record
AGCCUCUAAAGCGACGUGGAUUCUUGGGCCACGCAGCAGGCCCGGGAUCCUUGCAGUGACUCUUAGCGAGGAGUGAGCACGUGGAGCGCACUCUGGAAGCAGCCAAACCUUGCUCAAGAACCACCUUCACAGGCUUGUCCUAAAAGAUAAGAACCCAUCAGGUGUUCCAACCACCAUGACAAUUGAAAGCACAAUUUUUAAAAAAAUGCUCAUUUCAACAAAACGCAGCAAAUACAUUUUUUAAAUGAUGUGCAUAGAACUCAUCACCACCAGCUACAGAUUAAAGUAGGAAACAACGGAUACCUUUUGAGCUUAUACAGCAAAACUGCACCAGCAUUACUGAAAUGUCCAUUGUAAAUUCUGUAGGAAAUAAAUUUAUUUGAAAAUUA